RNAcentral lists this unclassified non-coding RNA (343 nucleotides) under soil metagenome. RNAcentral's name for it is "partial contains 5.8S ribosomal RNA, internal transcribed spacer 2, and large subunit ribosomal RNA". The stretch from base 1 to 120 matches the Rfam family "5.8S ribosomal RNA", at positions 35 to 154 of the family's 154-position model. The record is from RNAcentral.
GAUGAAGAACGUAGCGAAAUGCGAUAAGUAGUGUGAAUUGCAGAAUUCAGUGAAUCAUCGAAUCUUUGAACGCACAUUGCGCCCGCCAGCAUUCUGGCGGGCAUGCCUGUUCGAGCGUCAUUUCAACCCUCGACCUCCCCUUGGGGAGGUCGGCGUUGGGGACCGGCAGCACACCGCCGGCCCUGAAAUGGAGUGGCGGCCCGUCCGCGGCGACCUCUGCGCAGUAAUACAGCUCGCACCGGAACCCCGACGCGGCCACGCCGUAAAACACCCAACUUCUGAACGUUGACCUCGAAUCAGGUAGGACUACCCGCUGAACUUAAGCAUAUCAAUAAGCGGAGGA